UGACGUAUCCGCGGGAGCAGCAGGGUGGCGGGAGGAACCGUUACGGGAACUGAAGCUGCCGAUUAAGCCUGAUCAAGAUGACAACCUCCCAAAAGCACCGAGACUUCGUGGCAGAGCCCAUGGGGGAGAAGCCAGUGGGGAGCCUGGCUGGGAUUGGUGAAGUCCUGGGCAAGAAGCUGGAGGAGAGGGGCUUUGACAAGGCCUAUGUUGUCCUUGGCCAGUUUCUGGUGCUAAAGAAAGAUGAAGACCUCUUCCGGGAAUGGCUGAAGGACACGUGUGGCGCCAACGCCAAGCAGUCCCGGGACUGCUUCGGAUGCCUUCGAGAGUGGUGUGACGCCUUCUUGUGAUGCUCUCUGGGAAGCUCUCAAUCCCCAGCCCUCAUCCAGAGUUUGCAGCCGAGUAGGGACUCCUCCCCUGCCCUCUACGAAGGAAAAGAUUGCUAUUGUCGUACUCACCUCCGACGUACUCCAGGGUCUUUUGGGAGUUUUCUCCCCUAACCAUUUCAACUUUUUUGGAUUCUCGCUCUUGCAUGCCUCCCCCGCCCUUUUUCCCUUGCCAGUUCCCUGGUGACAGUUACCAGCUUUCCUGAAUGGAUUCCUGGCCCCGUCCCUCACCCCCCACCCUCACUUUCAGUCCGUUUGAUACCAUUUGGCUCCUUUUUGGGCAGAACAGUCACUGUCCUUGUAAAGUUUUUUAGAUCAAUAAAGUCAGUGGCUUUCAUGACUGGGCUUUGUGCACUGAAAAACAAGUGGGCUGGGAGUUGCCUCUCCUCCAGGGACGGACCAUGUCUCCCUCACUCCUUAUCAGUAGAGACCGAAACUGGCAGCUUCCCUUCCACUCCCAGAGGGCAGUCAUGCUAGCCAUGUAGGCCUCAGGCAGGUGACUUGUGUCUCAAUCCCCGAGUGAUGUGGGAGAGGGUGUGGGUGGAUCUUUUCCUGGGAGCCAGAUGGACGGUGCUCCAGAUGUUAGUUAAGUCAACAGCUGGGCUAGGCAACACCUGGUGGAAAAGUCAGUGGGAGUCAGAGGUACCAGACAGGGUGGGCCAGAUGUGGGUGAGAGUUCACCUGCCAGUCAGCAUAUCAUCUGCUCUCCUGGCCUCGGCAAGGGUGAGCAGGGCGCUUGCCAUCUUCCAUGAUCUCUUAGGUAGGAGAAGGAGCACAGGCAUCACAGCUGGAAGGAUGUGAGGGGAGUACACCUCAGUACAUUUUAGUCCUAUUCUUUUUGUUUACUUUUUAACUUAAUAGAGACGGCCCUUCUGUGUUGCCCAGGCUGGCCUUAAGCGAUCCUUAAGCCUCUCAAAGCGCUAUGACUAUAGGUGUGAGCCACCAUACGUGUCCAGCCCUGUUAUGUCUUGAACACUUAGUAUGAACCAGGCUUGAAGCUAAAAUCUUUGCAAACAUUUUUUUCUUUCACAAUAAUAAUUAUUUUCUCUUUUACAGGUGAGGAAACUUGAGGCUCAGAGAGGCGAAUUUGCCCGUGGACUUGCUCCUGGGAAGUAGCCAGACUGGAACUCAGAACUAGCUUGGAAACGCAUGGACCGGGCCCUGUGUUCCUUGGUCAUGUGGCUUAUCCUCUCUGAGUCUCAGUUUUCCCACUUGGAAAAUGAGAUGGUUGUAGGGAAAGGAUAUUUGCAGCAGUGUGAACAACAAAGGAGUAUUUCCGUAGCACAAAUACAACUGCAAUCAAGAAAAAGGUGGACUGGCUGGGCGUGAUGGCUCACGUCUGUAAUCCCAGCACUUUCAGAGGCCGAGGUGGGUGGAUCACCUGAGGUCAGGAUUUCAAGACCAGCCUGGCCAACAUGAUGAAACCUCAUCUCUACUAAAAAUACACAAAUUAGCCCGGUGUGGUGGUGCACGCCUGUAAUCCCAGCUACUCAGGAGGCUCAGGCAGGAGAAUCGAAUUUGGGAGGCAGAGGUUGCAGUCAGCCAAGAUCAUGCCAUUGUACUCCAGCCAGGGUGACAAGAAUGAAACUCGGUUUCAAAAAAAAAAAAGAAAAAAAAA
This is a long non-coding RNA of Macaca mulatta (Rhesus monkey), 2001 nucleotides long. NCBI's taxonomy places the organism in Eukaryota, Metazoa, Chordata, Mammalia, Primates, Cercopithecidae. The record is from Ensembl.